RNAcentral lists this non-coding RNA (238 nucleotides) under Jeotgalibaca sp. RNAcentral describes it as "T-box sequence". It matches the Rfam family "T-box leader". Rfam says of the family: Uncharged tRNA acts as the effector for transcription antitermination of genes in the T-box leader family. T-boxes are found upstream of many aminoacyl-tRNA synthetase genes and some amino acid biosynthetic genes usually in Gram-positive bacteria. The anticodon of a specific tRNA base pairs to a specifier sequence within the T-box motif, and the NCCA acceptor tail of the tRNA base pairs to a conserved bulge in the T-box antiterminator hairpin. The record is from RNAcentral. Lineage: Bacteria; Bacillati; Bacillota; Bacilli; Lactobacillales; Carnobacteriaceae.
GUUGAUACAGUGAAGAGAAGAGUAACUGCACGCAUCACAUAGAGAGAGCCCGGCUGGUGGAAAAGGGCAGUGAUAAAAGCAGUGAAGAUGAACUCGGAGUAUAUAAGUGGUUUACGCUACUUAUACGGCAGCAACCGUUAUCUUGUCAGAUUUCAGCUUAUUUGAGCGGAAUUAAUGAGGCAGUUGAUCUUAAGCAACUGUGAAUAAGGGUGGUAACACGGAAGUAUCCGUCCCUUUG